Molecule: ribosomal RNA, 167 nt
Filed under: uncultured bacterium
Lineage: Bacteria
Description: partial 16S ribosomal RNA
Rfam family: Bacterial small subunit ribosomal RNA
Source: RNAcentral
UCGGGAAUAUUGCGCAAUGGGGCGAAAGCCUGACGCAGCCAUGCCGCGUGGUGUGAAGAAGGCCCUAGGGUUGUAAAGCACUUUCAAUUCGGGAGGAAAAAGCUAAUGGUUAAUAACCAUUAGCCCUGACGUUACCUUUAGAAGAAGCACCGGCUAACUUCCGUGCC